CAAUCCUGAAAAAAACUUGAAUCAGCACGCGGACUAUCCGCGCCACUGACCGUGCGCGAGGACCUUGUGUGUUCAACAGUUAACACCCUGCACUCUGCAAAUUUCCAUUUCCACGCGACGACGACGAAGAGGAGGUGGGAUUCGGAGGAGUAAAUCCUAACAGCCGUCUCGCGCCGGUGGUCCGGUGCCCGCGCGAGAUCGGGGGGGGGGGGGGGGGGGGGGGGGGGGGGCGACAUCUAGGGCGCGGUGCCGGCCAUGGCGAGCUCUGGACUCGCCUACCCCGACCGCUUCUACGCCGCCGCAGCCUACGCGGGGUUCGGCGCUGGUGGGGCCACCUCCUCCUCUACGGCCUGCACAGCAGGCCACAGUUGGUCCGUGCAAUGUGCCCAAGCCAAGGGCGUGGAACCCCGUGGAGCAGAGCAAAUGGGCCAGUUGGCACGGACUUGGAAGCAUGCCAUCGGCUGAGGCGAUGCGUCUUUUUGUCAAAAUCUUGGAGGAGGAAGAUCCUGGAUGGUACUCAAGGGUUCCUGAGUUCAACUCUGAGCCCAUUGUAGAUAUUCAAAUGCAUAAACCAAAAGAAGAGCCACAGAUUGUACCGGCUUCAACGAAUGGAACAUCAAUUUCAGAACCAAAAAUCAUUUCUGAAAAUGGAAGUUCUGUGGAAACACAGGACAUAGAUGUUAUUUUGGAAGGCCUUAGUACUGUUAGUUCUCUUGACGAAUGGACACCAUUAGCUAUCAGUGGCCAUCGUCCGAAGCCUCGUUAUGAGCAUGGAGCAACUGUGUUGCAGGAUAAGAUGUAUAUAUUUGGCGGAAACCAUAACGGGUGUUACCUUAGUGACCUCCAGGCUUUGGAUCUGAAGAAUUUGACUUGGUCAAAGAUUGAUGCCAAAUUGGAAGCAGAAUCUUCUGAUUCAGCAAAAACCUCACAAAUUGCUCCUUGUGCUGGCCAUUCAUUGUUUUUCUCCAUUGCUGGGCAUACCAAAGAUCCAUCUGAAGGUGUUACAGUUAAGGAAUUUGAUCCGCAUACUUGUACCUGGUCUAUUGUCAGGACUUAUGGAAAAUCACCGGUUUCUCGCGGAGGUCAGACAGUGACUCUUGUUGGAACAACACUAGUUUUGUUCGGUGGUGAAGAUGCAAAACGGUGCCUCUUGAAUGACUUGCACAUUCUUGAUCUUGAAACCAUGACAUGGGAUGAUGUGGAUGCAAUAGGCACCCCUCCUCCGAGAUCGGAUCAUGCUGCUGCUUGCCAUGCUGACCGCUAUCUUUUGAUUUUUGGUGGGGGAUCUCAUGCGACAUGUUUCAACGACCUACAUGUCCUUGAUUUGCAGACGAUGGAGUGGUCAAGACCCAAACAACAAGGCCUGACGCCAAGCCCAAGAGCUGGCCAUGCUGGUGCAACUGUCGGGGAGAACUGGUACAUAGUUGGGGGUGGCAAUAAUAAAAGUGGUGUCUCUGAUACUCUUGUUCUUAACAUGUCAACUCUGACAUGGUCAGUGGUUAGCACUGCGGAAGGACGAGUUCCCCUUGCCAGUGAGGGCAUGACUCUAGUGCAUAGCAAUUACAAUGGAUACGAUUAUCUCAUCUCAUUUGGAGGAUACAAUGGACGAUACAGCAAUGAGGUUUAUACACUUAGCCUCAAAUCAGAUUUUAAGUCCACCACAAAAGAAGAAACUGUCUCAGAUCUAGGGUCGUCGAACCAGAGGUUGAAAUGGUGAUUGGCGUGGACAGUGCUGAUUCAGACCUGAAGAACAGUAGUACAGUACUGAUGAAGCAAGUGAACAGUUCUUAGCAGCUCUCAAAGCUGAGAAAGAGGAACUAGAAGCGACACUUAACAGGGAACAGCUGCAAACUGUACAACUUAAAGAAUACAUUGCUCAAGCAGAAUCCAGAAAUGUGGAACUCACAAAGGAACUUCAAGCCGUCCGUGGCCAACUUGCUGCUGAGCAGUCAAGAUGUUUCAAACUUGAGGUCGAUGUUGCGGAACUACGACAGAAGCUUCAAAGUAUGGAUGCAUUGGAAAAGGAGGUCGAGCUGCUUCGACGACACAGAGCCGCGUCAGAGCAAGCAGCGCUGGACGCAAAGCAGCGGCAAAGUUCUGGGGGCAUGUGGAGCUGGCUCGUUGGUACCCCUCCUGAUGAUAAAUCUGAAUCGUGAUCGCGUCGUGAGGGCAGCACUUUAGUUCAUACAGGCCGUGAUUCAUAUAUUAUACUUGUAACAUUUAUAUACCCGUUGAUAUUUUUUUUACAGUUACUGAAUUCGUGUUCAUUUUGACCACAGAAGAUAAGGAAAUCAUUAGUUUUAUGCCUUGUUUUGGCGUAUUGCAAUCACUCAAAUGUAUCAGGAAGUUUCAACAUUAUUUCUUGAAAAGCUAGAUUUCAACAUUGUCAUC
Zea mays is the source of this 2391-nucleotide RNA transcript. It is a transcript of the gene named acyl-CoA binding protein pseudogene, with no coding region annotated. The record is from RefSeq and is marked validated. Lineage: Eukaryota; Viridiplantae; Streptophyta; Magnoliopsida; Poales; Poaceae.